GUAGGGGGCGAGCGUUGUCCGGAUUCAUUGGGCGUAAAGAGCUCGUAGGCGGCUUGCUAAGUCGGGUGUGAAACCCCCGAGCUCAACUCGGGGUCGCCAUCUGAUACUGGUAUGGCUGGAGUCCGGUAGGGGACCAUGGAAUUCCUGGUGUAGCGGUGAAAUGCGCAGAUAUCAGGAGGAACACCGAUGGCGAAGGCAGUGGUCUGGGCCGGUACUGACGCUGAGGAGCGAAAGCGUGGGGAGCGAACAGGAUUAGAUACCCUGGUAGUCCACGCUGUAAACGUUGGGCACUAGGUGUGGGGCCUUACCAACGGGUUCCGUGCCGUAGCUAACGCAUUAAGUGCCCCGCCUGGGGAGUACGGCCGCAAGGCUA
RNAcentral lists this ribosomal RNA (373 nucleotides) under uncultured bacterium. RNAcentral's name for it is "bacterial SSU rRNA". It matches the Rfam family "Bacterial small subunit ribosomal RNA", at positions 527 to 896 of the family's 1533-position model. The record is from RNAcentral.